AAAUAAGAAGCAAUUUAGCAAUUAGUUUCGACCUAGUUAUUGGUAACAUUUUUACCCUUAUUUA
This 64-nucleotide transfer RNA is filed under the name Pseudoglomeris planiuscula. RNAcentral's name for it is "tRNA-Arg". Lineage: Eukaryota; Metazoa; Arthropoda; Insecta; Blattodea; Blaberidae. The record is from RNAcentral.